GGGCCUGGGCACCAGAGGCCACGACAGGCGGCCACCGCCCCAGGCCACUAAGGACCCUGAACCUGGAGGUCAGAGUCAGGACGUGAGGGUCAGGGAACACGCACUUGCAUCCCCGCCCCCUGUUCACGGCCGUGUGGCCUGGAGCCCCGUCACCAGCUCCCUCCCUGGACGGGGGACAGGCCUCACGCAGGGAUCACUGUGCAUCUGGGCUCCUUGAUCCGAAGCACCCAGACCCGGGCCCGCCCUCAGUGGCGCAUCGCUCUCCUGGGGAAAACAGGCAAAAAUAAACAGACUGAAAAGGAAGUAGGCGCAAACCCAGUGCGGGGCGGCGGGAGGUGAUGAAUCUCGCCUCUCCCGGUCUGGAGUUAAUGAGGAGCCUGAGUCAGGAGGCAGAUGGGACCGACCCAUCCGCUGUGCUGCUGGAAAUGAGAAGCUGCUGGAGACGUUCUGACUCAGAACCAGAUGGCCCCUGCUCCAUCCCCUGCAUUCAAGAUGGAAGUGAAGGACCUUGAGAUGAGACGCCCUGGAUGCAGGUGAGACUCAGCACCAGUGAUAAGUGUCCUUGUGGAAAGAGGGAAGGCCCCAUGAAAGCAGAGUCAGGGACGGCAGCUACAGGCGGCUCUGAGCCCCCGUUCCCAGCGGUUUGUUGCAGCAGCUUCGGAUGCUCCAUGGAUACCAAGGCACGCGAGGGAAGCAAACCUACCAGCACAGUCGAACUUGCCUCGGCGCCAACACAGCUUAACCUUCAGGGCCCCUCACUUGCGAAGACCCCCUUCUGCAGCCCAGUUCCUGUUUGCGUAUUCCUUUUGUCAAAGGGGCCCCCUCCGCAGAUGGGAAAAGUAUUGGGUCCCACACACUCUGGCUCCCUCCCUGUUGCCACCAGGGUACAGCACACAGCCUGCAGUAUAGACGCUUCCGUGGGUUUUCUGUCAUCUGAACAUCCACCCAGCCAGUCCUCCGUGUCUUCAGCCAAGCUGGAUUAUCGAGUCCCUGCUGUCUCGGGAUGUAACUUGGAAAGAGAACCAGAGACAAUUUGGAGGCAAAGUAAAUGGGCUGCAGCAAGAUGCGCAUGAAGAAAGAGAGAGGCUGAGAGGGGAACCUGAGCAGAGAAUGGUUGUUCUACCUGGAAAUCAUGACAGCCCCACCAAGGAGAUGACCUCCAGUCUGGGCUUUUAAGGAUGGGUAGGAGUUCACCAGGAGACAAGGGGGAGGGCAGCUUAGGCCGGGGGCACUGUGCGGGCAAAGGUGUGGGACAGCCCCUGGCCCUGGGGCAGCAGUGUGCGACAGCCUGCCUGGCCCAUGGGGCCUGCAGGAUGAAGAGAGAGGGAAGGGCCGGGGCUGGGCCUGGAGUCCUGGGGCAGGGAGAAGUAACAGGUGUGAGGUCCCAAAAGUGGCAGCUUAAAAUGAGAAGAAUCUCCUUCCUCUGAAGGCUGGGGCAGGGGGUGGGGGUGAGGUGUUUCCAGGCCCCUUCCAGCUGCUGGCUGUUGUGGCAGUUCCAUUGUCCAGCCCCUUGCAGCUGCACCCUCCAGUCUCUGCCUCCCUCAUUACAGGACCUUCUCCCUGUGUCUCUCUGGGUCCCUUCGCCUUUUUUUUUUUUUCCAGCUGCACCCACACCAGGCAGAAGUUCCCAAGCCAGGGGUCGAAUGCGCUCCACAUCUGUAAGUAACCAGAGCCACUGCAGUGACAACGCCAGAUCCUUAACCCACUGAGCCACCAGGGAACUCCCCUUCUCCUCUUCUUAUGAGGACACCAGCCAUAGUAGAGACGUUACUAAUCAGGUAAUUCAAUUACAUCUGCAAGGACACCAGAGUAUUUCCAAGUAAGGUCACGUACACAGGGGCCUGGGCUCAGGGCUUCAAUGACCUUUCUGGGGACACAGUUCAACCCACAACAGGGAGGAGGAACCACAGGACUUGGUACUGAUUAGAUGGACCUUAUGGCCUGAAUGGUCUACACGGCCUCCCUCCCACGGCACAUGUUGAAAUCCUGAUAGCCUUGUGACCGCGUCGGAGACAGGGCCUUUAGGAGGUGAGGACCGCGGCUGUCUGCAAGCCAGGAAGAGAGCUCUCAGCAGAAACCUCGUGCUGCCAAAACCUUGAUGUUCCAGCCUCCAGAACCAUGAGAAGAAAGUUUCUGUCCUUAAGCCCCCAGUGUGCGGCAUUUUAUCACGGCAGGCUGAGCUAAGACAAUGGGGUUGGGGCUGGAUGAGCAGGCAGCAGAGCGGAACUGAGGAGGAAUUCCCCAGGCUCGGAGGAAGCUCUGACCCACAGGUGCUGGGUCCCGAUGGCCCGGCCAGGAGCUGAGGUUUUAGGGAGGAACUGGACUCGGCCCAAGGCUUCCAGGAGCUGCAGGUCAGGCAGGGAGUCAGGAAGGGGCCCAGGCCUGCCAGGUACAAUGAUGCAGGUGGUGGCUCAGGGACAAGGGGCCAGGACAAUCGAAGCGGCCCCAAGGGGCAGGGAGGCCCCAGGAAGGGGCCAUCAGAACAGUCAAGAACCCGGUCGUUGGCACUUCCUCCGGCCUAACUACUCAGCGUUGUCUCUGCAGCAGCUCUGGAUCAGUCCCUGGCCUUGGAACUUCCACAUGUCGAGGGUGCAGCCAAACACUUUAAAAAAAGAACUCUUGCCUGCUCUGACUGAUGGCUCCCAGGCCAGGGAUCAGAUACGAGCUGCAGCUGCAACCUGCGCUGCAGCUGCAGCAACGCUGGAUCCUUCAACCCACCAUUCAUUCUUAUGCCGCUUAAAUGUCACCUCCACUACGUGCAGAAGCUCGAUGGACUUGAGCACAUAGAUCGGGCAACAUUUGGGGGGUUUGGCCUCACAGAUGGUCGGCUCUCUGGGUUGGCAAGUUCCUGCCUGGCUUCCUUUGCUGUUGUCACGGAGUUGCCGUUGCCAUGGCGUCUGUGUGUGCACAGGGGACCAUCACGCAUCUCCUCAGCUUCGGGAGCACGCAUCCAGAGCCUGGGAAGACUGCGGAGAGAGAAGAAGGAGGCGUGGCGUGUGGGAGGGAGUCCACCUGGGCGCCUAGUGUUGACGGAGCCGAGAAAAGAGGGGUGGUACUGUGCCGCCCCUGAACCAGAAGGGAGGGAUGGAGGCAGAGGUGCCUGCAGGGCCUGCCGGGCCCUCAGCUGUAGAGGCCCAGGGAGGGGGGGUCAACCGAGGGUCUUCUAUCUGGCCUUCUGCUGCCCCUCCUUCGCAACCACUUCCUGCCACUGUCCCAAAGUCACGGCAAAUGCAGCCCAGGAGUGAAAUACUGCCGAUUUAAUCUGUGCCUCUGAUAAAUAAAUGAACAAGUGU
This 3293-nucleotide long non-coding RNA is filed under the name Sus scrofa (pig). RNAcentral's name for it is "lncRNA (ENSSSCG00030002893.1)". Lineage: Eukaryota; Metazoa; Chordata; Mammalia; Artiodactyla; Suidae. The record is from RNAcentral.